UCACGAAUGGUAGAAUCUGGCUGGGAACGCAGAUCUGUAGCAGCAGUCGGUUCCCAACUCGGUGCUGAAAUUUCCUCUCUCGUUAAGGUACGUGGCAGGAUCUCAACAAGCAGACGGUAAAUGCCGUCAUCAAAUUCGAAGGUGUCGGCUGCCAAACGAAAGGUGAGGUUAAUCCAGCCAGCCAGCCAGCCAGCCACAGCCUAAGGUCACCUUAGUUUCUCGUUUCUCCUUAAUCAUUGACUGUUUGCUCAGCUUUUUUUCUCUCCCUUCGCUUUUCUGCAACGGUUGCCAUCCUACUAGGAUAAUUGCUGUUCACAAUAGCUGUUUACAGUAAAACCUGAUCUCUCAAAGAGCUUUAAACGACUUCCCUUUCCCAGAAGUUUCAUGCUUGCUGAGGUGGGACGGUUGCGUGGACUGCGCAGCGCUAGAGGGUCGCAGCGAGCUGGAGCCUAACCAGGCAACACAGGGCAUAAGGCUGAUGGAGAAGGGGACACGCCAAGGACAGGGCGCCAGUCCAUCACACGGCACCCCAAGCGGGACUCGAACCCCAGACCCGCCAGAGAGCAGGACCCAGCCAAAUCCGCCGCUCCACUGCGCCUCCCCGUGGAAAAUAUAGAAAACAUCAAAACUGGGUAAUAGAGCCCCUGUACCCGUGGACCAUGUCAUUGACUACUGUUAGUCCUGCUACCCUCGCGUCCUGCAACGUGCCAGCUGGACCUCUCCGGAACGUUUGACGGCAACAGCUGGGAGGUGUUUGUGCGCCUUGUUUUGCUGAGCUAGGUGAUCUACGGCAGGCUGGCCGACUGAUCCCCUCACUGGAGGUUUUUGAGGACUGAUGGGCCUGGUAGCUGGGACAGAAUCCAGGAGGUUUGUCUCCCCCCUCCACCACCCACCCCUACUUCAUAUGGUUGUUGUGCUGCUGUGACUUUGAUCGAGGGUGUCCUU
Molecule: long non-coding RNA, 945 nt
Organism: Scleropages formosus (Asian bonytongue)
Lineage: Eukaryota; Metazoa; Chordata; Actinopteri; Osteoglossiformes; Osteoglossidae
Exons: 3
Source: RefSeq, a predicted model, not a curated record